This 494-nucleotide ribosomal RNA is filed under the name uncultured bacterium. RNAcentral describes it as "bacterial SSU rRNA". It matches the Rfam family "Bacterial small subunit ribosomal RNA", at positions 17 to 518 of the family's 1533-position model. The record is from RNAcentral.
UUCUGGCUCAGGACGAACGCUGGCUGCGUGCUUAACACAUGCAAGUCGAACGCUGAAGCCCUCAGCUUGCUGGGGGUGGAUGAGUGGCGAACGGGUGAGUAACACGUGAGUAACCUGCCCUGAUUUCGGGAUAAGCCCGGGAAACUGGGCCUAAUACCGGAUAUGACCACUGGCCGCAUGGUGGGUGGUGGAAAGUUUUUUCGAUUGGGGAUGGGCUCGCGGCCUAUCAGUUUGUUGGUGGGGUAAUGGCCUACCAAGGCGACGACGGGUAGCCGGCCUGAGAGGGCGACCGGCCACACUGGGACUGAGACACGGCCCAGACUCCUACGGGAGGCAGCAGUGGGGAAUAUUGCACAAUGGGGGAAACCCUGAUGCCAGCGACGCAGCGUGCGGGAUGACGGCCUUCGGGUUGUAAACCGCUUUCAGCAGGGAAGAAGCCGUGAGGUGACGGUACCUGCAGAAGAAGUACCGGCUAACUACGUGCCAGCCGCCGC